Molecule: small nuclear RNA, 188 nt
Filed under: Erinaceus europaeus (western European hedgehog)
Lineage: Eukaryota; Metazoa; Chordata; Mammalia; Eulipotyphla; Erinaceidae
Description: 7SK RNA
Rfam family: 7SK RNA
About the family: 7SK was discovered as an abundant small nuclear RNA in the mid-70s but a possible function has only recently been suggested. Two independent studies have found that 7SK RNA binds the CDK9/cyclin T complex (known as elongation factor P-TEFb).
Source: Rfam by way of RNAcentral
GGAUGUGAGGCCAAUUUGGCUGCGACAUAUGUCACUCCAUUGAUCACCAGGGUUGAUUCGGCUAAUCUGGCUGCCUAGGAGGGUGUCGCUUCCUCCCUCACUGCUCCAUGUGCGUCCCUCCUGAAGCUGCACGCUAGGUCGAUGAGGACGGUCUUCCCUGAAUUAAAUGUGUGAAUCCACCUUCUAAG